Molecule: ribosomal RNA, 766 nt
Filed under: Diaporthales sp. GA-S2
Lineage: Eukaryota; Fungi; Ascomycota; Sordariomycetes; Diaporthales
Description: SSU rRNA
Rfam family: Eukaryotic small subunit ribosomal RNA
Source: RNAcentral
AAAAGCUCGUAGUUGAACCUUGGGCCUGGCUGGCCGGUCUGCCUCACCGCAUGCACUGGUCCGGCCGGGCCUUUCCCUCUGGGGAGCCGCAUGCCCUUCACUGGGUGUGUCGGGGAACCAGGACUUUUACUGUGAAAAAAUUAGAGUGUUCAAAGCAGGCAUAUGCUCGAAUACAUUAGCAUGGAAUAAUAGAAUAGGACGUCGCGGUUCUAUUUUGUUGGUUUCUAGGACCGCCGUAAUGAUUAAUAGGGACAGUCGGGGGCAUCAGUAUUCAAUCGUCAGAGGUGAAAUUCUUGGAUCGAUUGAAGACUAACUACUGCGAAAGCAUUUGCCAAGGAUGUUUUCAUUAAUCAGGAACGAAAGUUAGGGGAUCGAAAACGAUCAGAUACCGUUGUAGUCUUAACCAUAAACUAUGCCGACUAGGGAUCGGGCGGUGUUAUUUCUUGACCCGCUCGGCACCUUACACGAAAGUAAAGUUUUUGGGUUCUGGGGGGAGUAUGGUCGCAAGGCUGAAACUUAAAGAAAUUGACGGAAGGGCACCACAAGGGGUGGAGCCUGCGGCUUAAUUUGACUCAACACGGGGAAACUCACCAGGUCCAGACACAACUAGGAUUGACAGAUUGAGAGCUCUUUCUUGAUUUUGUGGGUGGUGGUGCAUGGCCGUUCUUAGUUGGUGGAGUGAUUUGUCUGCUUAAUUGCGAUAACGAACGAGACCUUAACCUGCUAAAUAGCCCGUGCCGCCUAGGCGGCACGCCGGCUUCUUAGA